This 422-nucleotide ribosomal RNA is filed under the name Megophrys major. RNAcentral's name for it is "Xenophrys major partial 12S ribosomal RNA". It matches the Rfam family "Bacterial small subunit ribosomal RNA", at positions 903 to 1521 of the family's 1533-position model. The record is from RNAcentral. Lineage: Eukaryota; Metazoa; Chordata; Amphibia; Anura; Megophryidae.
AAGACUUGGCGGUGCCCUAUACCACCUAGAGGAGCCUGUUCUAUAAUCGAUAAUCCCCGAUCAACCUCACCACCCCUUGCCUAUACCGCCUGUAUACCUCCGUCGUCAACUGACCCCUCAAGGGAAAUAGUUGGUUUAAUGGCUUAUCACCAGAAAGUCAGGUCAAGGUGCAGCGUAUGAGGUGGGAAGAAAUGGGCUACAUUCUCUACCUUUAGAUUACACGAAAGAUCACUAUGAAAUCUGAUCAGAAGGCGGAUUUAGCAGUAAAAAGAGACUAGAGCGCUCUUUUUAAGUUGGCCCUAGGGCGCGCACACACCGCCCGUCACCCUCUUCAACUCCAUAUUUCUUUAUUCCUAAUCCCCCCUUAGGAGAAUAGAAGAGGCAAGUCGUAACAUGGUAAGUCCACCGGAAGGUGGACUUGG